AUCCAACUGACGAGUCCCAAAUAGGACGAAACGCGUGUCCUGAAU
This is a non-coding RNA of Schistosoma mattheei, 45 nucleotides long. Lineage: Eukaryota; Metazoa; Platyhelminthes; Trematoda; Strigeidida; Schistosomatidae. The record is from Rfam.